GGUUGAUCCUGCCAGUAGUUAUAUGCUUGUCUCAAAGACUAAGCCAUGCAUGUCUAAGUAUAAACCAAAUUAUACGGUGAAACUGCGAAUGGCUCAUUAUAUCAGUUAUUGUUUAUUUGAUGAUACCCUACCACUUGGAUAACCGUGGUAAUUCUAGAGCUAAUACAUGCACGAAAUCUCGACUCUAUUCAGGGAAGGGAUGUAUUUAUUAGAUAAAAGCCAGCGCGGCACUUGUGCCGGACACCCUGGUGAUUCAUGAUAACUUUGCGAAUCGCAUGACAUUCGUCGGCGA
Molecule: ribosomal RNA, 292 nt
Filed under: uncultured eukaryote
Lineage: Eukaryota
Description: partial 18S ribosomal RNA
Rfam family: Eukaryotic small subunit ribosomal RNA
Source: RNAcentral